This is a long non-coding RNA of Arachis stenosperma, 433 nucleotides long. RefSeq lists it as uncharacterized. The transcript has 3 exons. The record is from RefSeq and is a predicted model, not a curated record. Lineage: Eukaryota; Viridiplantae; Streptophyta; Magnoliopsida; Fabales; Fabaceae.
UUCUGGGCCGGAUUGUUGCUAUGCUGCGUCGGAUAGGGCAUCCUCCUAUCUCGAAGAGGAAGCCAGGUCGUCCUCCGAAGGCUGCUCCUGCUGGUGGUCCGGCUGCUGUUGAUGUGGCGGCAGCUGAAGUUUAAGUGGCGACUCCUGUUCAUUGCUGUCUCUGAUCCUGCCGUUGCUGUGACUGCAUUGCGGCUGGCACCCAUGGUUCUGCCUGCCAUUCAUCACAACCAGGUUCAUUCAACAGAAGCUAAGAUGUCCUUCCAUCUCAGAUUAUGAAAAGCUGCAAGCAGAUUUCUCUGAUCUCCGCAACAAAUAUAAUGACCUUUUGGCUGCACAUCACAAAAUUUCCAGAGACUGCUCAAUCUUCCUCUAUCUCCCCUUUGUUUGCUGCUCUGCUGCCUCCUCUCAGUUUAAGGCUUCAUCUUUCCUGGUU